GCCCCACCCAGUAUGGGGGUUAUGACUCUCGAAUUGUAAUCGAGAGGGUUCGGGUUCAAAUCCCAAGUAAGGCA
Molecule: non-coding RNA, 74 nt
Organism: Trichonephila clavipes
Lineage: Eukaryota; Metazoa; Arthropoda; Arachnida; Araneae; Nephilidae
Source: the annotation of a GenBank genome assembly